UCCAGACUCCUACGGGAGGCAGCAGUGGGGGAUAUUGCACAAUGGGGGGAACCCUGAUGCAGCGACGCCGCGUGGGUGAAGGAGCGUUUCGGCGCGUAAAGCCCUAUCGGCAGGGAAGAAGGAGGACGGUACCUGACUAAAAAGCCCCGGCUAACUACGUGCCAGCAGCCGCGGUAAUACGUAGGGGGCAAGCGUUAUCCGGAUUUACUGGGUGUAAAGGGGGCGCAGACGGCAGCGCAAGCCAGGAGUGAAAGCCCGGGGCCCAACCCCGGGACUGCUCUUGGAACUGCGCGGCUGGAGUGCAGGAGGGGCAGGCGGAAUUCCUGGUGUAGCGGUGAAAUGCGUAGAUAUCAGGAGGAACACCGGUGGCGAAGGCGGCCUGCUGGACUGCGACUGACGUUGAGGCCCGAAAGCGUGGGGAGCAAACAGGAUUAGAUACCCUAGUAAC
Molecule: ribosomal RNA, 448 nt
Filed under: uncultured bacterium
Lineage: Bacteria
Description: partial 16S ribosomal RNA
Rfam family: Bacterial small subunit ribosomal RNA
Source: RNAcentral